CUCUUGUUUGCUUAUGUUUUCAUCAUCUCUAUUUCUUUAUUUCUUGUUGUAACCAAUGGUGUAAAAAUUCCGUGUGUUAAAGACACUGAUUGUCCAACUUUGCCUUGCCCUCUAUAUUCGAAGUGUGUUGAUGGAUUUUUUCUACGGUAAGCACGAAUUUCUGUCCGAAGGGUGUGCAAUUUUUUAAACUCCACAAGUAAACGAGCACACUGAUUCCUCAAAGUCUUCAAGUCAUAGCGUUAUGUUGGUUCUGAUUCAUUUUGAGGUUGGUGUUGUUGUUCGUUGCCGUUGAUUUUGCUGCCUCCGCUUAGUUCGUUGACUUAUUAUUUGAGUUUCCUUGUUUUCGAUCCAUUUUAAGGUUGGUGUUGCUGCUGGCUGGUUAUUGCUUCUUUUCUUUUUGGAUCCACUUGUUCGUUGGCUUGUUAUUUGAGCGGCGCGAAAAAUGGAUCAACAUAUUUUCCAUCGUAGUUGGAUGUACGAUAGAAAAUAUCCGGGGAAAAGGAAACUUAAGGCGGCUUUUGUGGAUGGAGUUCGUGAUUUUGUUGCUUACGCCAUGGCGCAAGAUGCCUUUCAAUUGGAGGGAGGGAUAAGAUGUCCGUGUGUUAAAUGUACGUGUAGGUUGAUUCGGAGCCCAAAAGAUGUUCUAAACCAUUUAAAGGACAUUGGUUUUAUGGAGAAUUAUUAUUUGUGGAUUUAUCACGGUGAACAAGAGCCGACAAAUAAUACCGAGUCUAAUGUUAAUAUGCACGCUUCAAGCAGUGAGGCGCGUAUGGAGUGUUAAAACUUUGGUGUGAUGGAAGAUAUGGUCGGUGAUGCUCUUGGGGUGAACCUGUCUUACACCGAGGGUGGUGAAGAGGAAACAAUCCCGAAUGAGAAAGCGUUGAAGUUUUACAAGAUGAUGCAAGAAGUAAACAAGCCAUUGUUUGAAGGGUCGUCUGAUUCUAAGUUAUCCAUGAGUGUGAGGCUUUUAGCUGCCGCGUCAGAUUGGAGUGUAGCCGAAGAAGGCUCAGAGUGUUAUACAGAUAUCAUGAGGGACGCAACUCCUGUAAAGGACAAUUUGCCCUUGAGUUUUUAUGAGGCUCAAAAGUUGGUGGAGAAGUUGGGAUUGGAAGUUAAAACUAUUGACUGUUGCGUUAAUGGGUGCAUGUUGUUUUACGACAACGAAUUUGGUAAAAAUGAUGGGGCGUUGGUGGCGUGUAAAUUUUGCAAUGCACCGAGGUAUGAAGUAUGUGAUGAUGCUGAUUCUCAGAAGAAGAAACGAGUCUCAGUCAAGUCAAUGUUUUAUCUGCCAAUAAUACCAAGAUUGCAGAGAUUGUUUGCAUCAACUCACACGGCCGAAAAAAUGACGUGGCAUUAUUACAAUAAAACAAAUUCAGGUGUGAUGCGACAUCCUUGUGACGGGGUGGCAUGGAAGCACUUUGAUCAAGUACAUCGUGAUUUUGCAGAAGAUCCACGUAAUGUGAGGAUUGGAUUAUGCUCUGAUGGAUUUAUUCCGUAUAUCCAAGCAUCAGCAACGCCUUAUUCUUGUUGGCCAAUUCUUCUUACCCCGUAUAAUCUUCCUCCUGAGAUGUGCAUGUCAAAGCCUUAUUUAUUUUUGAGUUGUAUUGUACCAGGACCUACGAGCCCCUUAGAUGGUAUAGAUGUGUAUCUACAACCCUUAAUUCAUGAUUUGAAUAGAUUGUGGAACGGUGCAUCGACAUAUGAUAUUGCAAGGAAGAAGAAUUUUAGAAUGAGGGCAGCUUUGAUGUGGACUAUUAACGACUUUCCUGCAUAUGGAAUGUUGUCUGGAUGGUCGACUCAUGGAAGAUUGGCUUGUCCACAUUGCAUGGAACACACAAAGGCCAUAUGGUUGCAUCACGGAAGAAAGCAUUCGUGGUUUGACUGUCAUCGUCCGUUUUUACCAAAGACACAUGAAUUUUGUAAGAGGAAUUUGUUUACUAAAGGAAAAACAUAAAAAGAUGGCCCGCCUCCUAGGACAUCAUCAGAGGAAGUAUACCGUAGAGUCAAUGAACUAGGACUUUUGAAAUUCACAAAUGUUGGCAAAAGAGUCAGACACCUACAAUACGGUAAUGAGCACCAUUGGACCAAAAGAAGUAUUUUCUGGGAUCUCCCUUACUAGAAAGAUAAUUUAUUGAGACAUAAUCUUGAUGUUAUGCACAUUGAAAAGAACUUUUGUGACAAUAUAAUUCACACGGUGAUGAAUGUCUCUGGUAAAUCAAAAGAUAAUGAGAAGGCUAGAAUGGACUUGUCAUUGCAAUGUAAGAGACCAGAAAUGGAGCUACAACUUCUUCAAAAUGGAAAAUAUCUAAAACCCAAGGCUAUUUAUAGUCUUACUGCUGAUGAAGCAAAAUCUGUUUGUCAAUGGUUGAAAGAAUUGAGGAUGUCAGACGGAUAUUGUUCUAACUUGUCAAGGUGUGCCGACGUCAACUCAGGAAGAUUGCAUAGAAUGAAAAGUCAUGAUUCCCACAUUUUCCUGGAACGCUUACUUCCAAUUGCGUUUAGUUCAUUGCCAAAUAAUGUCUUAAACCCCUUGACUGAAGUUAGCCUUUUUUUUAAAGACUUGUGCGCUUCAACCUUGAGGAUGGAUGAACUUGUUAAAAUGGAUCAAAAUAUGCCUAUCACUCUUUGUAAACUAGAGCAAGUUUUUCCCCCGAGUUUCUUUGAUUCUAUGGAACAUCUUCCUGUGCAUCUCACAUACGAAGCUUGGCUCGGUGGACCUGUUCAAUAAAGGUGGAUGUAUCCUUUUGAAAGGUUCAUGGGUUAUGCAAAGCGAAUGGUGAGAAAUAAAGCAAGGGUUGAGGGAUCAAUAGUUGCAGCUUAUGUGCGUCGGGAAACAAACUAUUUCAUCUCUCAUUACUUCAACCCGUUGAUGUUGAACCCAAGAAAUAUACGAAAUGAAGUUAUUGUUGAAAGUGAAGGGUUUCAGUCUGCCUUAUCAGUUUUUUCGUCACCAAGGACGUCCUUGUCAUCCAGGGAAAUAUUCUUGGAUGAACGACGCAGAGUUGCAGUCAGCGACAAUUCAUGUGAUGAUUAAUUGUAGCGAAGUUGGACCAUACAUUGAGAUAUUUCAAGGAUUAAAUAUCAGUAACAUAUAUACAAGUUUUCAAGGAUGGUUUAAGCAUCAAUUGUUAAAUUCUCAUCCGACUACACAAAUAUAUCAUUUGAGGGGAUUAGCCGAAGGUCCGGGAAGAAAAUUCAAACAAUGGGACACUUACUUUGUCAAUGGGUUUAAAUUUCAUACUCAAUCACGGUCAGUGGGCAAAAAAACAAUUAACAGUGGUGUUUACGUCAAAGGAAUCAGUGAUGGAGGUGAAGAUGACUUCUAUGGUGUGAUCAAACACAUAUUUGAAGUAACUUACCUAUAUGUGGAUGAACCUAACAAAGUUGUAUUGUUUUAUUGUGACUGGUUUGACCCUGCAAAUGGGAUGAAAAUUGAUCCAAAGCAUAAAACUGUUGAUGUGCGAAUGAACCGGAUGUAUAAUGCAUUUGACCCUUUCAUUUUGGCAAGUAAAGUUAGUCAAGUGUAUUAUGUACCCUAUCCUUCUCAUCACCGGCGCAAACAUGGAUGGUGUGCUGCUAUCAAGUGUAAACCAAGAGGUUAAUUUGAGACAGAAGUUCCAGAUAAAGAAAUACCUUACCAAGAUGAUGAAAUAUCACAUGUUCCAGAUGUGAUUGAAGUCGAUCAUGUUACAAAUUUGGUUGACAGAGAUGUUGACGGUCAACAACUUGAUGCUGAAACGUUAGCUCGAAUGUUACUUAUUGACACUGAUAGUGGGGAGGAGUCAAGUAACUCUAGAGACAAUGGGGAAGAUGCAAAUAACCCUGACAACAAUGUGGAUGAUUUUUAUUAUGACGAUGAUGAAUAACCGUUCAUAAAACACAUGAUGUCUUUAAUGUAAUUAUUUUAUUAUAAUAAUGAAAUAUUUAUGUUUAAUAUAAUGAUUUUAUCAUAUUAGUUAUCUAUCUAAUGUAUUUUUAUAUCAUUUAUUAUCUAACUAAUAUAUUAAAAAAUUAUGUAUAAGAUAUUGUAAAAUAAAAGAAAAUUAAAUACUGUCAAAAUGAGAGGAAAGGAUCGGUUUUCACACUCCCUCUUUACCAAUUUCAUUCUUCUCCCUCCCACCUCUUUUCCCGAAUUUCAAUCUCCCUCCAUCAUCUCCAAAACCCUAAAACGAAAAUACUUCCUCAAUCUCACUUUCCCCCCAAAUCUGAAACCUAAAUUUCAAUCUCACUAACCCUAAUGGCUCAAUCUCACUAACCAAAUAUUCACUCAAUCGGUUCCUCACUCAUGGCAUAAAUCGAAGCACCUUCAUUGUUCAUCAUCUUCUUUCCGUUUGCUGCUUCCAUCACCAAUCGCUACUUCCAUCGUUUGAUGCACCAAUCGGCAGCUUAUCGCACGAAUGCAGCGGAGUUUUUGAAGGAGAAUCUUGAGAUUCCAUCAUAUCCAGAAAUUCCCUUCCCCGUUAAACUUCAAUUAUGGGCGAAGGCUGCAGAAAAAGGAAGACCGGAUGGAGGAAAAGAAAGAAAGGGUAGAAUGUACGGUCUUGGGCCAUUAGCCGGCAAUGUGGUACAUGGAGAUUUGUUCUAUGUUCCUCCUCCACCAGAGUCCUCAUCUCGUUCUAUAGAGCUGCCUCUUGAGAGGCAAGCAAUGAUACAACGAAUGAACCAGGAGUUGCAAUCUCAAAAGGAGGUGUUGGCAAAGAAAGAAGAAUCGGAGAAUGAGUUAAGGGAAUUGCUGGCCAAACAGGCAGAGGAAAUGAGAAAACUCAAAAGGAUGGUUACAAAAAGGAUGGGUGGCAUGAAGAGUAGGAAAACAUCGGAAUCAUCGUCGCCAUCGAGUCAAUCAUCACCGUCGGUUCAAGAAGACCGAACACAUGACGACGACAAUGAUGAUGAUGAUGAUGAUGAGGACGAGGACGAGGAGAGGGAUGAUGAUCAUAACGAGUAAUUUAUAUUCUUGUUGUGUAUUUCAAUGUUGUUUUUACCAAGUUUCAGUUGCUGUUUUUUGGUUAGGGACUGGUUUUGGGAACUUUUGGGGUGUUUUAAGUGGUUACUGUCAAAGAAAAUUUAAAUUGCAUUUAUGAAUUUUGUUUUAUGUAAUUAUUUAUCAACAUGACAUGUUUUGUAGGAAACAAAUUAUCAAAAAAUUUGGGUUAUUU
RNA transcript from Medicago truncatula (barrel medic), 5156 nucleotides. RefSeq lists it as uncharacterized. NCBI's taxonomy places the organism in Eukaryota, Viridiplantae, Streptophyta, Magnoliopsida, Fabales, Fabaceae. The record is from RefSeq and is a predicted model, not a curated record. The transcript is spliced from 7 exons.